AUGGACAUGGACUCGCCCCCUGUGUCUGUGCCCAUGCCGCCGUCCAAGCCGGCCGACCUCUCGCUCACGCUGGCGCCGGCGGCGCAGUCCGUCGCCGAGGCUGACGGCGGGGCCGGGGCGGGCGGCGACGGCGCGUGCGUCGACGGCAAGGACGUGCGCCUCUUCCCCUGCCUCUUCUGCAACAAGAAGUUCCUCAAGUCGCAGGCGCUCGGCGGCCACCAGAACGCGCACAAGAAGGAGCGCAGCAUCGGCUGGAACCCCUACUUCUACAUGCCGCCCACCUCCUCCGCGCACCUCCACGCCAAUGCCGCGCCGCCCAACUCCUCCGGCGCCACCGCCUCGGGGCCCUACGCCGGCUCUGUCGCGGGUUCUACCGCGACCGCGCCGCCCGGCGUCGCCGCGGGCCUCCCGGCGCACGCCUACGCGAGCCGUGCCUACGCGGCCUUGCCCACCACCUUCCCAAUCGCCUCCCACAGCUCCAUCAUGGUCGGCUCCGACCGGCUCCAGUACUACGCGCCGCCGCAGGGAGCGUCGGCGUCCUCGGCGGCGACCGGCGAGCUGUACAGCGGCGGCAUGCAGCAGGUGUCCCGCUUCGCCGCCGCGCACCAGCAGCAGCUCCUGGCCGUCAGCAGCAGCAGCAGCAGCAGCGAGCGCGCGAUGAUGGCCGCGGCCGAGCAGCCCGGCGCCGGGCGCGACGAGCUGAUCGACAUGCUCAACUGGAGGCGGGGCUGCCACGGGCCGACCGCCUCAGCGGCCGCCACCACCCCGUCGCCCGCCAGCACCACCACCACGCUCACCUCCGGAGGCGGCAGCAUCUACAACAACAACGGCGAGGAGGCCGAGGAGGAGCUGGACCUCAACUUGAGCCUGUAG
RNAcentral lists this ribosomal RNA (873 nucleotides) under Triticum aestivum (bread wheat). RNAcentral's name for it is "partial small subunit ribosomal RNA". Lineage: Eukaryota; Viridiplantae; Streptophyta; Magnoliopsida; Poales; Poaceae. The record is from RNAcentral.